GAUGAACGCUAGCGGCAGGCUUAACACAUGCAAGUCGAGGGGUAGGUUACUUCGGUAAUUGAGACCGGCGCACGGGUGCGUAACGCGUAUACAAUCUACCUUUUACAGAGGGAUAGCCCAGAGAAAUUUGGAUUAAUACCUCAUAGUAUUUUUGAAUCGCAUGAUUUGAUUAUUAAAGUUCCAACGGUAAAAGAUGAGUAUGCGUCCCAUUAGCUAGAUGGUAAGGUAACGGCUUACCAUGGCUACGAUGGGUAGGGGUCCUGAGAGGGAGAUCCCCCCACACUGGUACUGAGACACGGACCAGACUCCUACGGGAGGCAGCAGUGAGGAAUAUUGGACAAUGGGCGCAAGCCUGAUCCAGCCAUGCCGCGUGCAGGAAGAAGGUCCUAUGGAUUGUAAACUGCUUUUAUACAAGAAGAAACACUCCCUCGUGAGGGAACUUGACGGUACUGUAUGAAUAAGGACCGCUAACUCCGUGCCAGCAGCCGCGGU
This 492-nucleotide ribosomal RNA is filed under the name uncultured bacterium. RNAcentral's name for it is "bacterial SSU rRNA". It matches the Rfam family "Bacterial small subunit ribosomal RNA", at positions 28 to 521 of the family's 1533-position model. The record is from RNAcentral.